CCCACUGAGUUUAAGACUAUCAAUAAAUGGAGGAAAAUAAACUUAAAAGGAUUCCCUCAGUAACGACAAGCAAACCAAGAAUAGCCAGCCUUAGAAUUGAGUGGCUUCAUCAUCCGAAUUAUAAUCUAGAGAAGCUUCCUCAGUGGCAGACCGGCCCAAGUCCCAUGGAAGGGGUGCUAUAGAGGGUGAGAGCCCCAUUGUGCUCGGACCCUAUCGCACCACGAGGCGCUAUCUAUGAGUCAGGUUAUUUGGGAAUGCAGCCCAAAUCGGGCGGUGAAUUCCGCCCAAGGCUAAAUACGGGCGAGACGCCGAUAAUGAACAAGUACCGUGAGGUAAAGAUGAAACCGACUUUGAAGAAAGAGUCAAAGAGUGCUUGAAAUUAUUGGGAGGGAAAUGGAUGGGAGAUGGUGAUAUGCCCCAGUCGGAUGUGGAAUGGAGAUGAGCCGGUUCGUCGUUCGACUCAGGGUGUGGACCAGCAUGGAUUGGGGGAGGCCAAAGCCCGAGCUCUUGGUACGCUUGUGGAACGCCAUCUCCUUAAUUGUGGCAGGCAGUGCGUGCCUCCAAUGUGCUUCAACAUCUGCGCCCUUCGGAUGCUGGCCUGUGGGCUCCCCAUUCAACCCGUCUUGAAACACAG
Molecule: non-coding RNA, 634 nt
Organism: Capsicum annuum
Lineage: Eukaryota; Viridiplantae; Streptophyta; Magnoliopsida; Solanales; Solanaceae
Source: Rfam